RNAcentral lists this unclassified non-coding RNA (253 nucleotides) under uncultured Alphaproteobacteria bacterium. RNAcentral's name for it is "contains 16S-23S intergenic spacer region". It matches the Rfam family "Bacterial small subunit ribosomal RNA", at positions 524 to 776 of the family's 1533-position model. Lineage: Bacteria; Pseudomonadati; Pseudomonadota; Alphaproteobacteria. The record is from RNAcentral.
UACGGAGGGGGCUAGCGUUAUUCGGAAUUACUGGGCGUAAAGCGCACGUAGGCGGCGCGCAUAGUCAGAGGUGAAAGGCCUGGGCUCAACCUGGGAACGGCCUUUGAUACUGGCGUGCUGGAGUCCGGGAGAGGGUGACGGAAUUCCCAGUGUAGAGGUGAAAUUCGUAGAUAUUGGGAAGAACACCGGUGGCGAAGGCGGUCACCUGGCCCGGGACUGACGCUGAGGUGCGAAAGCGUUGGGAGCAAACAGA